CCUACGGGGGGCAGCAGUAGGGAAUGUUCGGCAAUGGGGGGAACCCUGACCGAGCAACGCCGCGUGAAGGAAGAAGGUAUUCGUAAUGUAAAGUUCUUUUAACAGGGAAGAAAGAGAAAUUUGACGGUACCUGAAGAAUAAGCUCCGGCUAACGACGUGCCAGCAGCCGCGGUAAUACGUAGGGAGCGAGCGUUAUACGGAAUUAUUGGGCGUAAAGGGUGCGUAGAUGGCAUAGUAAGUCUUUUGUAAAAAUGCUGGGCUCAACCCAGUAGGGCAAAAGAUACUGCAAAGCUAGAGUAUGACAGAGGUAAGUGGAACUACAUGUGUAGCGGUGAAAUGCGUAGAUAUCUGUAAGAACACCAGUGGCGAAGGCGGCUUGCUGGGUCGAUACUGACGUUGAGGCACGAAAGCGUGGGGAGCAAACAGGAUUAGAUACCCGUGUAGUC
This 446-nucleotide ribosomal RNA is filed under the name uncultured bacterium. RNAcentral describes it as "partial 16S ribosomal RNA". It matches the Rfam family "Bacterial small subunit ribosomal RNA", at positions 338 to 795 of the family's 1533-position model. The record is from RNAcentral.